GGUUAAGUUAGAAAGGGCGCACGGUGGAUGCCUUGGCACUAGGAGCCGAUGAAGGACGGGACGAACACCGAUAUGCUUCGGGGAGCUGUAAGCAAGCUUUGAUCCGGAGAUUUCCGAAUGGGGAAACCCACCACUCGUAAUGGAGUGGUAUCCAUAUCUGAAUACAUAGGAUAUGAGAAGGCAGACCCGGGGAACUGAAACAUCUAAGUACCCGGAGGAAGAGAAAGCAAAUGCGAUUCCCUGAGUAGCGGCGAGCGAAACGGGACCAGCCCAAACCAAGAGGCUUGCCUCUUGGGGUUGUAGGACACUCUGUACGGAGUUACAAAGGAACGAGGUAGAUGAAGAGGUCUGGAAAGGCCCGCCAUAGAAGGUAACAGCCCUGUAGUCAAAACUUCGUUCUCUCCUGAGUGGAUCCUGAGUACGGCGGAACACGUGAAAUUCCGUCGGAAUCCGGGAGGACCAUCUCCCAAGGCUAAAUACUCCCUAGUGACCGAUAGUGAACCAGUACCGUGAGGGAAAGGUGAAAAGCACCCCGGAAGGGGAGUGAAAGAGAUCCUGAAACCGUGUGCCUACAAGUAGUCAGAGCCCGUUAACGGGUGAUGGCGUGCCUUUUGUAGAAUGAACCGGCGAGUUACGAUCCCGUGCAAGGUUAAGCAGAAGAUGCGGAGCCGCAGCGAAAGCGAGUCUGAAUAGGGCGAAUUGAGUACGUGGUCGUAGACCCGAAACCAGGUGAUCUACCCAUGUCCAGGGUGAAGUUCAGGUAACACUGAAUGGAGGCCCGAACCCACGCACGUUGAAAAGUGCGGGGAUGAGGUGUGGGUAGGGGUGAAAUGCCAAUCGAACCUGGAGAUAGCUGGUUCUCUCCGAAAUAGCUUUAGGGCUAGCCUCAAGGUAAGAGUCUCGGAGGUAGAGCACUGAUUGGACUAGGGGCCCCUACCGGGUUACCGAAUUCAGUCAAACUCCGAAUGCCGAUGACUUAUCCUUGGGAGUCAGACUGCGAGUGAUAAGAUCCGUAGUCGAAAGGGAAACAGCCCAGACCGCCAGCUAAGGUCCCAAAGUAUACGUUAAGUGGAAAAGGAUGUGGAGUUGCUUAGACAACCAGGAUGUUGGCUUAGAAGCAGCCACCAUUUAAAGAGUGCGUAAUAGCUCACUGGUCGAGUGACUCUGCGCCGAAAAUGUACCGGGGCUAAACGUAUCACCGAAGCUGCGGACUGUUCUUCGAACAGUGGUAGGAGAGCGUUCUAAGGGCUGUGAAGCAAGACCGGAAGGACUUGUGGAGCGCUUAGAAGUGAGAAUGCCGGUAUGAGUAGCGAAAGAGGGGUGAGAAUCCCCUCCACCGAAUGCCUAAGGUUUCCUGAGGAAGGCUCGUCCGCUCAGGGUUAGUCGGGACCUAAGCCGAGGCCGAAAGGCGUAGGCGAUGGAUAACAGGUUGAUAUUCCUGUACCACCUCCUCACCAUUUGAGCAAUGGGGGACGCAGGAGGAUAGGGUAAGCGCGGUAUUGGAUAUCCGCGUCCAAGCAGUUAGGCUGGGAAAUAGGCAAAUCCGUUUCCCGUGAAGGCUGAGCUGUGAUGGCGAGCGAAUUAUAGUAGCGAAGUUCCUGAUUCCACACUGCCAAGAAAAGCCUCUAGCGAGGUGAGAGGUGCCCGUACCGCAAACCGACACAGGUAGGCGAGGAGAGAAUCCUAAGGUGAUCGAGAGAACUCUCGUUAAGGAACUCGGCAAAAUGACCCCGUAACUUCGGGAGAAGGGGUGCUCUGUUAGGGUGCAAGCCCGAGAGAGCCGCAGUGAAUAGGCCCAGGCGACUGUUUAGCAAAAACACAGGUCUCUGCGAAGCCGUAAGGCGAAGUAUAGGGGCUGACGCCUGCCCGGUGCUGGAAGGUUAAGAGGAGCGCUUAGCGUAAGCGAAGGUGCGAAUUGAAGCCCCAGUAAACGGCGGCCGUAACUAUAACGGUCCUAAGGUAGCGAAAUUCCUUGUCGGGUAAGUUCCGACCCGCACGAAAGGCGCAACGAUCUGGGCACUGUCUCAACGAGAGACUCGGUGAAAUUAUAGUACCUGUGAAGAUGCAGGUUACCCGCGACAGGACGGAAAGACCCCGUGGAGCUUUACUGCAGCCUGAUAUUGAAUGUUGGUACAGCUUGUACAGGAUAGGUAGGAGCCUUGGAAACCGGAGCGCCAGCUUCGGUGGAGGCAUCGGUGGGAUACUACCCUGGCUGUAUUGACCUUCUAACCCGCCGCCCUUAUCGGGCGGGGAGACAGUGUCAGGUGGGCAGUUUGACUGGGGCGGUCGCCUCCUAAAAGGUAACGGAGGCGCCCAAAGGUUCCCUCAGAAUGGUUGGAAAUCAUUCGCAGAGUGUAAAGGCACAAGGGAGCUUGACUGCGAGACCUACAAGUCGAGCAGGGACGAAAGUCGGGCUUAGUGAUCCGGUGGUUCCGCAUGGAAGGGCCAUCGCUCAACGGAUAAAAGCUACCCGGGGAUAACAGGCUUAUCUCCCCCAAGAGUCCACAUCGACGGGGAGGUUUGGCACCUCGAUGUCGGCUCAUCGCAUCCUGGGGCUGUAGUCGGUCCCAAGGGUUGGGCUGUUCGCCCAUUAAAGCGGUACGCGAGCUGGGUUCAGAACGUCGUGAGACAGUUCGGUCCCUAUCCGUCGCGGGCGCAAAAUUUGAGAGGAGCUGUCCUUAGUACGAGAGGACCGGGAUGGACGCACCGCUGGUGUACCAGUUGUUCUGCCAAGGGCAUCGCUGGGUAGCUAUGUGCGGACGGGAUAAGUGCUGAAAGCAUCUAAGCAUGAAGCCCCCCUCAAGAUGAGAUUUCCCAUUCCGCAAGGAAGUAAGAUCCCUGAAAGAUGAUCAGGUUGAUAGGUCUGAGGUGGAAGUGUGGCGACACAUGGAGCUGACAGAUACUAAUCGAUCGAGGACUUAACCAA
This 2926-nucleotide ribosomal RNA is filed under the name Bacillus velezensis. RNAcentral's name for it is "23S ribosomal RNA". It matches the Rfam family "Bacterial large subunit ribosomal RNA". The record is from RNAcentral. Lineage: Bacteria; Bacillati; Bacillota; Bacilli; Caryophanales; Bacillaceae.